Long non-coding RNA from Manis pentadactyla (Chinese pangolin), 1379 nucleotides. RefSeq lists it as uncharacterized. The transcript is spliced from 6 exons. The record is from RefSeq and is a predicted model, not a curated record. Lineage: Eukaryota; Metazoa; Chordata; Mammalia; Pholidota; Manidae.
CCUGCCCCAAGGUGUCUGCGCUGUGUCCUCUGCCCCCAGAUAUGUAGGUGGCUCAGUUUCUAACUUCAUCAGGAUUUCUGCUCAAAUGAAGCCUCAGGAAGUUCUUUCUAACACAGCAAACCCACUCCUGUUGCUUUAUUUUCUUUUUGCAAUGCUUAUCACCACCUUUUAUGUAUUUACUUAAAAUUUACUUGAAAAAAGACAUCAUGUAUUUACUUGAAUGCAGUACUUUAUUUUGGUAAUCCUUUUAUCAUAAAUGCAUAAAAAAUGCUUGGCAUAUCAAAACACUGUUGCAUGAAUUCUCAAUAUGCUCUAUGUUCCAUGCUCUUAGCCCCUCUUCCUCUACUUGAUAAAAAUCAUACUUACCCUUCAAAGCUUAGUUCAAAUGAGUCUAUUCCUGCUAUCCCCUCCACUGCAUCACCAUAAACUUCAUUAUACCUCUAGUCUAGCAUUUAUCUCUUUCUGUCUCCUAUGACAUUGACUUGUGUACAAGCCUCUUCUCUUUAUUAGGCAGAAAGCUCUACGGGGACCAAGACUGAUUUGUUGCUACAUUAGUUCCCCCAUCUGUGGUGUUGCCUUCUGAGGUUUCAGUUAUGCAUGCUGGCUCAUGAUGGCUUGUUUCUCUGUAUAAUUUUUAACUGGAGGCCUACUGAUAAGGGGAGGAAAGUGCAAUCACUCACUCUUUAAUCAUUCUAUACAUGCAUGCAUACAUGCAUCAAAAGGAAGUUCCCUAAAGGAUUCAUAUUUGAAGCUGUACUUUAUUUACUACAAAAACCUGUUAAACAUCAGUUAUCAAACUAUGACAUACAUUUCUAGUGAGGGAUUUGUCUGAAUAAGGUGUACAUGCCCCAAGCGUGGUGAUGCCUCCAGUAUGACUCCACGCGCGGAUACAUCACAUCAGCAGCCCCAGGAACAAAGGAUGACAGUGCAUUUAGCAGAAAGUUCUAGUUCUUUUUAAUCAAAAAAAAGGAAAAAGAGGUUUCUCAAGAUGAAUGUUUAUUAACACCCUGCUUUAACUACACAAGCUCUGGAGAUGAUUUAUAAUAAAUGUGUAACUCAAAAUUAUAAAAUAAAAUAGAAUAUUGAAAUCAUGGAAACCAUCAAUCAGAACAGAUCAAGAACAGAGAAAAAAGGAACAGUGAAAUAAAAGUUCUCAACAGCUGAGAACAGCAUUUAUAUGAAAUGCCAACUUACCUACUUCUGCAGAAUACAGACCUACUGGGAAGACUGAGUAAAAAGCACACUAGAAUGGUAAUUCUAAUGCAGUACAUACGAGGGAUGACAUGAAUGACUGCGAGACCCUACAUCAAAGGAAAGCCAAACCAAGCAAGACUGAGACUGCUUCUGUGCUAGAAAAAAAAUAUAAAUUUCUAAAUGGC